UAAGAGCUCGUAGGCGGUUUGUCGCGUCUGCUGUGAAAAGCCCGGGGCUCAACCCCGGGUCUGCAGUGGGUACGGGCAGACUAGAGUGCAGUAGGGGAGACUGGAAUUCCUGGUGUAGCGGUGAAAUGCGCAGAUAUCAGGAGGAACACCGAUGGCGAAGGCAGGUCUCUGGGCUGUUACUGACGCUGAGGAGCGAAAGCAUGGGGAGCGAACAGGAUUAGAUACCCUGGUAGUCCAUGCCGUAAACGUUGGGCACUAGGUGUGGGGGACAUUCCACGUUCUCCGCGCCGUAGCUAACGCAUUAAGUGCCCCGCCUGGGGAGUACGGCCGCAAGGCUAAAACUCAAAGGAAUUGACGGGGGCCCGCACAAGCGGCGGAGCAUGCGGAUUAAUUCGAUGCAACGCGAAGAACCUUACCAAGGCUUGACAUYCACCGGACCGCACUGGAGACAGUGCUUCCCUUCGGGGCUGGUGGACAGGUGGUGCAUGGUUGUCGUCAGCUCGUGUCGUGAGAUGUUGGGUUAAGUCCCGCAACGAGCGCAACCCUCGUUCUAUGUUGCCAGCACGUGAUGGUGGGGACUCAUAGGAGACUGCCGGGGUCAACUCGGAGGAAGGUGGGGAUGACGUCAAAUCAUCAUGCCCCUUAUGUCUUGGGCUUCACGCAUGCUACAAUGGCCGGUACAAAGGGUUGCGAUACUGUGAGGUGGAGCUAAUCCCAAAAAGCCGGUCUCAGUUCGGAUUGAGGUCUGCAACUCGACCUCAUGAAGUCGGAGUCGCUAGUAAUCGCAGAUCAGCAACGCUGCGGUGAAUACGUUCCCGGGCCUUGUACACACCGCCCGUCAAGUCACGAAAGUUGGUAACACCCGAAGCCGGUGGCCUAACCCC
This 884-nucleotide ribosomal RNA is filed under the name Kocuria flava. RNAcentral's name for it is "bacterial SSU rRNA". It matches the Rfam family "Bacterial small subunit ribosomal RNA", at positions 562 to 1442 of the family's 1533-position model. The record is from RNAcentral. Lineage: Bacteria; Bacillati; Actinomycetota; Actinomycetes; Micrococcales; Micrococcaceae.